GGAAGAGCCGAGGUUGUACACGCAUGUUCUGCUCUUACCUGCUUCCAUCAGCUGGCACUGCUGCCCGAAAACUUGCGAGAAGGUGACGGGGCCUGGCGCGGAGCUGGAGGUCACCGGGGACGCGUCCAUCGCGCUGGGCACUGAGAUGUCUAAACGCAGCAGCUACCUUGUCCGUGAGCGUGGGCACAUCCUCAUUCGAGGAAACGGGGGAGUUUCUCCUGUGUGAGAAUGCGGCUGGAAGAAUGCAGCGGUGAUGAACGGCGGCCCACGGAGCUCCCUCAACAAACACGCCAAGUCCCACAGCCCCGGACAAGGGAUAAAACUCCCCCUCCAGGCCUUGUGAUGGAGCAUGUCCUGUAACAGCGAUACAUGAAACAGGGACCAUUUCUAGGAAGAUAAAACCCUCCCAUCCCGUGCCCUGCUCAAAAUUUCUGCUGUAAUUACCGUUC
This is a long non-coding RNA of Columba livia (rock pigeon), 449 nucleotides long. RefSeq lists it as uncharacterized. The transcript has 3 exons. The record is from RefSeq and is a predicted model, not a curated record. Lineage: Eukaryota; Metazoa; Chordata; Aves; Columbiformes; Columbidae.